This 4548-nucleotide long non-coding RNA is filed under the name Ananas comosus (pineapple). Its description in RNAcentral is "long non-coding RNA (ACOM_LNC017508)". Lineage: Eukaryota; Viridiplantae; Streptophyta; Magnoliopsida; Poales; Bromeliaceae. The record is from RNAcentral.
UUGAGUAUAGCUUUGGAGGGUACAGAAGAGGCAGAAAUCCUAAAAGGAGUGUGAGAGAUAAAGAAGAGAGGGUUUAUAAAAAACGUGUGGAAAAAGUACCAACAAAUCUCGUAUGGUCUCGACCAUUGAAUAUAUUGAUGAGGAAAUGAUCGGUUUAUGUCGAUCGUUCGAUUGAAGAUUGUAAGGGUUUGGAUUAAAUUGAUGUGUGGUGUCUCUUUUGCAAAGACUCGUAGUGGUUAGGGAAGAAUGGGGAGUUACAGAAAAGGGGGAAGACGGAGGGACGCAGGAAGAAGAAAGGAAAAGGGAUGACACAUGAGUUAUAUAGAUGGUUGUGGAGAAGAAUGAGGAGUUAUACAGAGGAGGAAAAUGAAGUGACACAGGGAGGGAAAGAGAAGACGGAGUCACGGGAGUUACAUAGAGAGAGAGGGUAAGCGAGCCAUCUAAAUGAGAAAAAAAAAACUCUUAAAACAAGGAUGUUGCGCCACGUCAGCAAAAUUAUUGGGAAAUAAUAUAUGUUUAUAGAUUUAUAGAUUAUUGGGAAAUAAUAUAUGUUUAUAGAUGUUGCGCCAUGUCAGCAAAAUUAUUGAGAAAUAAUAUAUGUUUAAAGAUGAGCACAAUUCAUAUCUAAUAUUGCCCUUCAAAACUUUCAAAAUAUCUAACAUAUAUCUAUUAAUCAAAAUACCUUUAUUAAUUUUCAAAAGUUUCUUCAAAAAUCCAAACAUCUGAGAUUUAGUAAUGGAAAUUGGGAUUUAGAAGGGUACUUAGAUAAUUUUAGGUUAAAUUUGAAAAUUUUGAAUAGUAGCCAAGAGUAAAUAAGCAAAAUCCUUCUUUUUUGGUAUAAAAUUACAGAACUUAUUUAUACUAUGGAUCAUUUUGAUUCGACAAUUCAAUCUGUGAAAAUUUUAACUUUACUACCCAACUUUUCGAUUUAUUUGAUUUCAGUUGUCAACGACACUUUGACCUUAAAAUUUAAACGCAUUUUGUAGAUUUAGUUAGUAUAAUUCAUGUAACUUGCGCUACUAUACAUUUAUUAAAAUAAAUAAUAGCUUAGAUUUUUAAGAGAAUUAUACGAAUUAUUCUGUGUCGUUAGAUAUAUUUAGUUAGUACAAUCCAAUCUUUUUCUUUUUUUUUUUUCUUUUCUUUCACUAUACGCAUUCUUUUCUGCUACUGCACCCCUCCCUUGCCCUUUGCCACAACUGCCGCCCCUAUCCAGACGUGCUCUCUCUCUCUCACCGUCGUCCUCAAAUACCGCAACACCCUCAUCACCGUCACUAUCACUGUCGUUGCCACCGCUCAUGGCUACGCCCUCCACCAAAGUCUCACCUCAACAAUCUAUACUGCAUUAACUCCGGCGUCGGCGGAGGUGUGGGCAAAAUAGGAGAGAGAAGCACGGCAUUAACAUGGAGGUGGUGGAGGAGGGAAGGGAAGUGGGAGGAGAAAGAGAAAAAGGAACAGCGAAGAGGCAAGAGAAAAACGAAUUACAGAGAAAGGCAAGAAAAAGAGGAAUAAAUAUAUUUUGGUUAGUUUACUAAAAUUCAAUUCUAAUUUGCAAAACUUAAAAAAAUGAUAUAUUUUUGCAGAAAUGCAAGACCAAAAAAAUGAUAUAUUUUUGCAGAAACGCAAGACCAGUGACUUCUUUAUGCAAAUUGGCCAGUUAUUACUAAAUUAUUUAUCUNGAAAUGUGAAUCAACUAUGAUUCGAACUUGGGACCUCAGUACCAACCAUCAAGCCUUUCGCCACUUGCUCUAGGGAUGGUCGGUGAGAAGAGUUAUGAAUGCGGUGAAUCAUUCACCGCAUUUAGAGGUCUAUUUUUAUAAUUAUUUUUUAAAAAAAUUUAUUUUUACAAUUAUAAAAAUUGAUAGGAUUAUUUAUAAAAAAAUUCUUUUAAAAGCACAAAAACAUCUAUGCUUAUAAUUUUUUAAUCGUUGAAUCGUCUCAAGAUUCGUACAGUACUAGUAAAAAAAAAAAUCUUAAUAGGAUACACAAUUAAUAGUACUAUAAAAAUUUUGAGUCAAUUCGACGGUUAAAAUCACAAGCACAGAUAUUUUUAGUUUAAAAGUACACUAGUGUAGUUACCCGCACGAUGUGACGGGUAGAUAUUAUCAAAAUAAUUAUUUUUUUUAGUCAUUGUUGAUCAUCGAUAAUAUUUCAGAGAAGUAAGCCUAAAAUAUACAGUUCAUCAAAUAUAUAGAAAAUAAUACUCUAAAUAUGAAAUGAAGAACGUUAGUUUAAAUAGUUCGCAAGAAUUGGUAAAAAACUACUAAAAAUAAUUUUUUAUAUGUAUUCACUCAACAAUCUAUACAAUUAAACUCAAAGUGAAGAAAGUGAUUAAACUAUAAAAAAAAGAUAAAUACACGUCUGCAAGAUAUAAAAUCUUUAGAAUUAAACAGUAUACAGGAAACAUGAAUAACGUAAACAAUCGUACAUACAAAUAAAUCACAAAAUAUGUCCAAAAUUUAUGGGUUCUCCCUUGUGUAGAGGAGCAAUAAGGGUACCAAAAUUUUGAGAUCCUCCUUGUCGAUGAUGUUGAACCUUUGGCGAAAAUACUUGUAAAGAACCUCCCAAACGACAUUUGACACCUUGUUCCCCACCUCAAGGAUCCGAUCUAUAGAGUCGAAAAUUAGAUCGAUCAAAGACAAAAUCAAUAGAAAAUAAUGCGAAACCUUACCAAUUCGAGGCGAUUUUGAACCGUGGGCAAGAUUUGCCAAAAUUUCUUGAGCAUACGUAGAGAGAGAGAUUAGUGACGGAUAAAUAUUACUAAUAAUUCAAUAGAGAUGAGACAAUUAUAUUAACAAAAUCUCUAAAACAAAAAAAAAAAAAGAAUAUUAGUAAUUUAGCAAGGUUUUUAUCAAGAGUCUUGAUGAACUGGUUCAAAGUGGGGAGCACUUUCAACCUCUGCUUGAGAAUUCUACUUUGUCACUGGAUCCGCACCACCUUCGGCCACUUCACGAAGCAAAUGAAGUCCCUCUUCAGCUAGAGAGCUCUGUCGAUCCCGAAGAGGAUCAUUCCAUAACACCACUUUGAGUAUAGCUUUGGAGGGUACAGAAGAGGCAAAAAUCCUAAAAGGAGUGUGAGAGAUAAAGAAGAUAGGGUUUAUAAAAAACGUGUGGAAAAAGUACCAACAAAUCUCGUAUGGUCUCGACCAUUGAAUAUAUUGAUGAGGAAAUGAUCGGUUUAUAUCGAUCGUUCAAUUGAAAAUUGUAAGGGUUUGGAUUAAAACUGAUGUGUGGUGUCUCUUUUGCAAAGACUCGUAGUGGUUAGGGAAGAUGGGGAGUUACAGAAAAGGGGGAAGACGAAGGGACACAGGAAGAAGAAAGGAAAGGGGAUGACACAUGAGUUAUAUAGAUGGUUGUGGAGAAGAAUGAGGAGUUAUAGAGAAGAGGAAAAUGAAGUGACACAGGGAGGGAAAGAGAAGACGGAGUCACGGGAGUUACAUAGAGAGAGAGGGUAAGCAAGCCAUCUAAAUGAGAAAAAAAAAACUCUUAAAGCAAGGAUGUUGCGCCACAUCAGCAAAAUUAUUGGAAAAUAAUAUAUGUUUAUAUAUAAUUAGGAAAUAAUAUAUGUUUAUAGAUGUUGCGCCAUGUCAGCAAAAUUAUUGGAAAAUAAUAUAUGUUUAUAGAUGAGCACAAUUCAUAUCUAAUAUUGCCCUUCAAAACUUUCAAAAUAUCUAACAUAUAUCUUAUUAAUCAAAAUACCUUUAUUAAUUUUCAAAAGUUUCUUCAAAAAUCCAAACAUCUGAGAUUUAGUAAUGGAAAUUGGGAUUUAGAAGGGUACUUAGAUAAUUUAGGUUAAAUUUGAAAAUUUUGAAUAGUAGCCAAGAGUAAAUAAGCAAAAUCUGUUUAAUCCUUUUAGGAGCCAUUUGGUUAAAUGUAAUUACAAAUGCAGUGUAAUUGAAGAUGCAUGCAGUUGAAAAUGGAGCAGUUACAACUACAUGCAUCAUGUUUGGUUGGAUGUAGUGGAAAGCGCUGUAACUAUAAAUAAUUUGUUUGAUUGCAUGCAGUCGAGAAAUAAUUUUUAAAAUUUUAUCAUUAUAUAUCUAUAUGAUGGUAAGAUUACCUCCAAUGUAAAAAAAUUUUAUUUUUUGUUUAAAAAAUAUUUAAAGAGGUAAAGUUACCUUUUGUUUAAAGUUGCACUCUCUAACUGCUGCAGUUGAAACUGCGGCCGAUUUGGGCGUAGUUCCAACUGCUGCAGUUGGACCUCCUCCUGCAGUUCCUACUGCAGCAAUUGGAUUUAAAUACAUCAAACCAAACACCGAAUUUGCAUUUGCAUACAGUUACAACUGCCGUACAGGCAACUACAUGCAACCAAACAGCCCUUUAGAUUCUAACAUCUUCGUCAGUCCAAUCACACACACAGUCCAAGAUCACCAGACGAUGUGAGGCUUACCUCACACUUUCGGUGAGUACACACACAGUCCAAAAUCACGAGACGAUGUGAGGCCUACCUCACAGUUUCGGCCAGUAAACCAGAAUCGGCUCUGAUAUCAAAUAUAACGAUCAGACUCACUAGUAAUAACAACUCUACAUGAAUUGACAGAAAAACUAGUUU